Long non-coding RNA from Mauremys reevesii (Reeves's turtle), 493 nucleotides. RefSeq lists it as uncharacterized. The transcript is spliced from 3 exons. Lineage: Eukaryota; Metazoa; Chordata; Testudines; Geoemydidae. The record is from RefSeq and is a predicted model, not a curated record.
CUUUGUCUACUGACCUAAAAUUCAUUUUCCUCUAAAGCUCAUACAAAUAAACCUCAUUCAUGGGAACAUUAGUUAAAGGGGUUACAAAUAUGGAAGCAAGAAAUUCAGCUUCCGAUUCAAUUAAUAUUUCCCCCUCCCCCCAACACACACACACACACCAUUUGGCCAGCUAGACACACUGCAAAUUCAAAGGAGCAAGAGCAGGAUCAUCCCUUCUAAAAAACCUGUGGGAGUUGGUUAAGAUGGCAGAAAUCACCACAAAAGUUCCUUUUAUGGAGUUUCUUAGUCACUGUUCCAUCAGGGCUUGCAGCCCCAUCCUGGAGAGUAAAUCUGGUGGUUCCCCAGCAAUCCAUGGAUCUUGAGCGAUCUGCUGAAGAACUUGCUUAUUGGAUUUCACAACUCCCUCUUUUCCUAUAAUCUCCUCCUGGCUGCCUCAGAUCUCCACUCUGAAUCAGCUGCUCUUGGUCUAUUGCUACUGUCAUGUGAACAACCC